AGAGUUUGAUCCUGGCUCAGAACGAACGCUGGCGGCGUGCCUAACACAUGCAAGUCGAGCGCGAAAGUCCCUUCGGGGGCGAGUAGAGCGGCGGACGGGUGAGUAAUACGUGAGAAAUCUACCCCUUAGACUGGGACAACCCGCCGAAAGGUGGGCUAAUACCGGAUGUGGUGCCCGGGUGCGAUCCCCGGGCAUUAAAGGAUGGCUGAGGCUUGCAAGCUAUCGCUAAGGGAUGAGCUCGCGCCUGAUUAGCUAGUUGGUGGGGUAAAGGCCCACCAAGGCGACAAUCAGUAGCCGGCCUGAGAGGGCGUACGGCCACACUGGAACUGAGACACGGUCCAGACUCCUACGGGAGGCAGCAGUGGGGAAUUUUCCACAAUGGGCGAAAGCCUGAUGGAGCAACGCCGCGUGAGUGAUGAAGGCCUUCGGGUUGUAAAACUCUGUCGUGCAAGAACAAAGUCACCGGGUGAACAAUCCGGUGAUCUGAUUGUAUUGCAGGAGGAAGACACGGCUAACUCUGUGCCAGCAGCCGCGGUAAUACAGAGGCGUCAAGCGUUGUCCGGAAUUACUGGGCGUAAAGGGCGUGUAGGCGGGCUUGUAAGUCGGAUGUGAAAUCACUGGGCUUAACCCAGUAACUGCAUCCGAAACUGCUUGUCUUGAGUGCAGAAGAGGAAAGCGGAAUUCCCGGUGUAGCGGUGAAAUGCGUAGAUAUCGGGAGGAACACCAGUGGCGAAGGCGGCUUUCUGGUCUGCAACUGACGCUGAAACGCGAAAGCUAGGGGAGCAAACGGGAUUAGAUACCCCGGUAGUCCUAGCCGUAAACGAU
Molecule: ribosomal RNA, 825 nt
Filed under: uncultured bacterium
Lineage: Bacteria
Description: bacterial SSU rRNA
Rfam family: Bacterial small subunit ribosomal RNA
Source: RNAcentral